This 227-nucleotide long non-coding RNA is filed under the name Mytilus galloprovincialis (Mediterranean mussel). The record is from RNAcentral. Lineage: Eukaryota; Metazoa; Mollusca; Bivalvia; Mytilida; Mytilidae.
GUUAGUAAAAUUCAUAGGGGUGAGGCCGGAGGCCAAAUCCCCUAUGGAUUUUAUUCACCCUCUAUGGUCCGUAGGGGGUCAGUAGUUAACCGUAUAACGAAUUUAUCGCACGCUGGACUUUUUCUGCUGCGUUAUGUUGAAAAAUAAACAACGAAACACAACGACAUCAAUAGAUGACGUCACCAUUAACGCGUCAUGAACCCCCUAUGAAAUCUACUAACCCCAUA